Gossypium hirsutum (cotton) is the source of this 84-nucleotide non-coding RNA. The record is from Rfam. NCBI's taxonomy places the organism in Eukaryota, Viridiplantae, Streptophyta, Magnoliopsida, Malvales, Malvaceae.
GUCAGGAUGGCCGAGUGCUCUAAGGCGCCAGACUCAAGUUCUGGUCUUCAUGAGAGGGCGUGAGUUCAAAUCUCACUUCUGAAA